CCCAAAACCACGGAGGUCCCUUUUCCUUCGCAGCACUAAUUGAGAACAUGUAGUCAGAUUGCCUCUGGGAGUGCUCACUCGUGCUGACAGCCAGCACAACAUUAUGCAAGACAUGGAAAAGAGGAAAAGAGAGCAGGAAAAAACUCAGAGGAAACAUAACAGUACCCACCAAGAGUCCAACUGCAAAGUUCCUGCUUGCCAUCAGGUUCAGCAUCUUGGAUUUGUACAUGUGGCAUCCCCUGGAACAAGAGAGCCUCAGACCCCCCCAUCCACGGAAGGCGUAAGCAAAG
Long non-coding RNA from Ficedula albicollis (Collared flycatcher), 290 nucleotides. RefSeq lists it as uncharacterized. The record is from RefSeq and is a predicted model, not a curated record. The transcript has 4 exons. NCBI's taxonomy places the organism in Eukaryota, Metazoa, Chordata, Aves, Passeriformes, Muscicapidae.